AUGCCCCGGAUUCCUUACCGAUCAGAGCUGAGCACUGAUCUCAGCGCUUAUAACAGGAGGCAAAUAAUAUUGAAACUCCCUUAGAUUACUUUGUGGCACAUGAGCCAGUUUCAAACAAAA
RNAcentral lists this small nucleolar RNA (120 nucleotides) under Echinops telfairi (small Madagascar hedgehog). Its description in RNAcentral is "Small nucleolar RNA SNORA61 (ENSETEG00000025286.1)". Lineage: Eukaryota; Metazoa; Chordata; Mammalia; Afrosoricida; Tenrecidae. The record is from RNAcentral.